UACGUAGGGGGCUAGCGUUGUCCGGAAUCAUUGGGCGUAAAGAGCGUGUAGGCGGUCCGGUAAGUCCGCUGUGAAAGUCGGGGGCUCAACCCUCGAAUGCCGGUGGAUACUGUCGGGCUAGAGUGCGGAAGAAGCGAGUGGAAUUCCUGGUGUAGCGGUGAAAUGCGCAGAUAUCAGGAGGAACACCUAUUGCGAAGGCAGCUCGCUGGGACGUAACUGACGCUGAGACGCGAAAGCGUGGGGAGCAAACAGG
RNAcentral lists this ribosomal RNA (253 nucleotides) under uncultured bacterium. RNAcentral's name for it is "partial 16S ribosomal RNA". It matches the Rfam family "Bacterial small subunit ribosomal RNA", at positions 524 to 776 of the family's 1533-position model. The record is from RNAcentral.